UACGAAGGGGGCGAGCGUUGUUCGGAAUUACUGGGCGUAAAGGGCGCGUAGGCGGCCGAUCAAGUCAGAUGUGAAAGUCCUGGGCUUAACCUGGGGACUGCAUUUGAUACUGAUUGGCUUGAAUGCAGGAGAGGAUAGCGGAAUUCCCAGUGUAGAGGUGAAAUUCGUAGAUAUUGGGAAGAACACCGGUGGCGAAGGCGGCUAUCUGGGACGGUACUGACGCUGAGACGCGAAAGCGUGGGGAGCAAACAGG
RNAcentral lists this ribosomal RNA (253 nucleotides) under uncultured bacterium. RNAcentral describes it as "partial 16S ribosomal RNA". It matches the Rfam family "Bacterial small subunit ribosomal RNA", at positions 524 to 776 of the family's 1533-position model. The record is from RNAcentral.